Long non-coding RNA from Astyanax mexicanus (Mexican tetra), 749 nucleotides. RefSeq lists it as uncharacterized. The transcript is spliced from 5 exons. NCBI's taxonomy places the organism in Eukaryota, Metazoa, Chordata, Actinopteri, Characiformes, Acestrorhamphidae. The record is from RefSeq and is a predicted model, not a curated record.
UUUCCCGCCCACUGGGACACCUGACUGUGGACGCGGACGCCGGAGUUCAGCUUCUCUCAGCGCAAAAACGUCUUCAAAAAACUGUUAAAAGACGUUUUUCAGAAGCGCGACUUUUCCACAGUGUAGUAAAUUCAGGAGACUAGCUGAGGUAGAGGACCUGAGGGCUUACAAGGAACAUAAAACGACAGAGACUCAGCAAGAGUGUACCUGAUCUGUGGUGGUUCCUCACCCUCCUGUGGGUUCCUCACCACUGAAGACCAAGGUUUCGUAUGCAGAGAAACAGAAGGACUACACUGUACUACAGACUUUACAGGUUGACUGGCUGUAAUCAGUGGAUAUAAGUGGCCCAUACUUGCCGCAGGACUAAAGAAGCAGACUUUGUCUUGGACAAUCCACUACGUAUAAAGGUGCCAGGUUCUUGCCAAUAUACCGGGUAGGGCCUCACAAUCAGACCUCGCUCCAACUGAGAUUAUUCACUUUACCUUGCCAUGAGCACGUUGGCCAGGUUUUAGCUUAACUUAAUACCCAGCAACUUUUACCUAUGUACUUCAUCUUACUGUAUCAGUUUACGUAUUGCAGUCCCAUGACUUUUGGCAUUUUAUGUAUAAACGCGCAUAUGGCUUCUCAGUGGUAUGCCGCUUUUUCAAACAUGUUUUUUCAAUGAUUCUUCUAUACAGUACCGUGUUCCUGCCGUGACAACACUGUUGUCAUCUCUGUAAAAUAUAAAUCAUUACAUGAGAUGUACAUAA